This 440-nucleotide ribosomal RNA is filed under the name uncultured bacterium. Its description in RNAcentral is "partial 16S ribosomal RNA". It matches the Rfam family "Bacterial small subunit ribosomal RNA", at positions 338 to 795 of the family's 1533-position model. The record is from RNAcentral.
CCUACGGGAGACAGCAGUGGGGGAUAUUGCACAAUGGGGGAAACCCUGAUGCAGCGACGCCGCGUGUGGGAAGACGGUCCUCUGGAUUGUAAACCACUGUCCCCAGGGACGAAGAUGACGGUACCUGGGGAGGAAGCUCCGGCUAACUACGUGCCAGCAGCCGCGGUAAUACGUAGGGAGCGAGCGUUGUCCGGAAUUACUGGGUGUCAAGGGAGCGUAGGCGGGGAUGCAAGUUGGGUGUCAAAACUACCGGCUCAACUGGUAGUCGCACUCAAAACUGCAGCUCUUGAGUGAAGUAGAGGCAGGCGGAAUUCCUAGUGUAGCGGUGAAAUGCGUAGAUAUUAGGAGGAACACCAGUGGCGAAGGCGGCCUGCUGGGCUUUUACUGACGCUGAGGCUCGAAAGUGUGGGGAGCAAGCAGGAUUAGAUACCCUAGUAGUC